Long non-coding RNA from Lolium perenne, 1457 nucleotides. RefSeq lists it as uncharacterized. NCBI's taxonomy places the organism in Eukaryota, Viridiplantae, Streptophyta, Magnoliopsida, Poales, Poaceae. The record is from RefSeq and is a predicted model, not a curated record.
ACCUCAGUUGUGUCGUGCUUUGUUAUCCUCUCGCCUCCCUGAUGUUGUGGUGGUCUGGUGGUGGUCCUGCUGCUUUCUAGGUUGGCCAUGGCCUCCCGCAUCUCAGUGUUGUCGUAUGCCCGGUUUGCCCCUUCUCCUUCGUCUACCUCGACUACAGUAUAUACCGCUGGUGUCGCUGUUUCAGGAGGUCGCCGCCAGUCACCCUACGUACUUGGAUACAGCUGCUGCGCACCACCUCUUGAGGAGGAUACGACCGCCCCUGCCCGGGCAUUGCGUGUGCCGCGCCCGGGUCGCGCGGCCUCUGCAUCGCUUGCCGUGCGGGACGGACAGCUGCUGCUCGCCGUGUCGCCUUCUUUGAUUAUGGUUGGUGGUUGUGCUUCUGUUCAUUGCCGUCGCUGCCGCACAUCUGGCCAGGUCUCCCUCUGAGUGGAGAUCCUCUUGGUUGCUAUCGGCGGGUUCAGGUUGCUGCCGGUGGGUCGCCUCCUCCGCAUUCAUUCUGACAUAAUGGCCUUCAAGAUGUCAUUGCUGUGCAAAUGCUUGAUGUGGGUGGCCCGGUGGUGCGUGUGCAAGGUGUGGUAGGCUUCAGUUUUUGGGAGGGGUUGUGCUUGGUCGGCAUGCCAUUGCUCCUGUUGCAUCUAUGAUCGGCGCACGGGUCGUGUUCACGGGAUUUUGCUAUUGCUGCUGUGAUUGGUUUUGCGGAUUACUCAGAUGUACCUUCCUUCUGUUGGUGGAUACAAUUACUAGAUUGCAUAUGUUCGGUUUGUAAGCUGACAAGAUAUUUACUUUCAGAUUUUUUUGACAGUAUGGACACAUCAGCGUAUAUGCUCUUACGCCAAUUUCUAUCUUCAUUGAACUGCAUUAUUAAGAAUGGAGAAGCUACAUCAUCCAGUGCGUAGCAGCCUGCCAAUGGCUUCCCCGAAUUAAUGGCUUCCUCUACACAUAUCAAAACAUUCAGUGUUAUGAAUCCUUGCGUUCCAGCUGGUCAGGGCAUAUAUGUAUGAAGGUGUACAUCGUUUGGAGAAGCUACAUCAUCGAAAAUGCGUAUCAGCCUGCCAAUGGCUUCCCCGAAUUAGUGGCUUCCUCUACAUAUAACGGCACAUUCAGUGUUAUGAAUCCUUGUAUCCCAGCUGGUAAGAGCAUAUAUAGGUAUGAAGGUGUACGUCGACAUUGCUAUACGACCAGGACGCCCACAGCACUGGCCUCUGUGCCACCUGCCGCCGUUGUCGUCAGCGCGGUCCAAGGCAAGGCUCCGUUAGUGGAGGAUGAUGUCCCGGCAGUGGGGGCACUGGUGUGGCUGCGCUGCCCAAACGGGUCAUGUGGGCAGCUGCCCCGCGCCGCCCAGGUCAUCCAAGGCCGCCAUCCUACUCCUCGACCGCGGCGAUGAACCAACUUUCAUGAUCUGCUUGAUACAAACAAGGUUAGCGGACUGAGUGUAUUAUGUUUUAGUGGUCAUGUGG